This 1332-nucleotide long non-coding RNA is filed under the name Podarcis muralis (Common wall lizard). Its description in RNAcentral is "lncRNA (ENSPMRG00000009593.1)". Lineage: Eukaryota; Metazoa; Chordata; Lepidosauria; Squamata; Lacertidae. The record is from RNAcentral.
AUGGAGGUCAUUAAUGCUCCCCAACGUAUUUGCAGGACACAUCACGUCGUUUUUUGCCAAGGGGAAACCAACUCCCCACGACUCUCCCCCUUAAGGUUCGUUGACUUUGACACCCUCUCCCAAACAAACCACCUAUUCCGUUACCCAACCUGUGCACUUCUCAAAUGGGGGGAAAGCCCCCCCCCAAAUGUCCCCAUGGGCCUUUUCCUGGCAUCCGCGGGGGAAAUUCCAUCCCGAAUCUCUCCGGAACAACGGGGAGGGGAUGCUCGGCGCUUCCCAGGUUUCCAGAAGGCCCCCUCCCCAAACGCCUGGCCCUGCGCAAUCCCUCUUAACCCCACCCACCCAGUUACGUCGAUCCUGAAGUAUUGGCGAGGGGGGGAGCCCCAUUCUCCCGUCCCCCGGCCCAGGCCUGGGUGGGGCAACUGCUCCCCACCCCUUCCCCGACCACGAUCCCGCGAGGCCCCAUCGGGGGGCCGGCGAGGCAGAAGGGGCGCAGCCCUGCCCAGCCGGGGGCGCCUGCCUGCCGACGGAAGCAGCGAACCCGGGAGGAGGAGGAGGACGCGGAGGCGGCGCGCUUGCGGAGGGGAAGGGGGGACCAAAGAGAUGCGAUGCCUCCCCUCCGUCCGCUUUGAUUUCCGAGCAAGGCUGCUUUUUGGGGGGGGGAGCAAGAGGUGGGCCUGUGCCCUUCGCAGCUGUCACUCGAGUUGGGGUGAAAGGCGGAGGGAGGGAGGGAUCUGUUGGAGGGGAGGGGGCGCGGGAAAGGGAUGCGGAAAGGCGGGGGCGGCGGGGAUCCCCGGAAAGAGGCGUCGCGGGAGGAGGGGGGGCGUCGUCGGUGCGCGGAAAAAGAGGAGGGCGAGAGAAGGAGAGAGGAGGGGAGACUCCCCUGCCAGCCCCCCACCACCACCCCAUCCAUCCCUGCAUCCCAUCCCUGCCCGCUUCGCCUUACCCGGGUGCGGCGGGGCUCCGACGCCUCCUCCGCCGCCUCUUCCCGGCUCCGCAUCCACGGUGAGCCCGGCGCGGGUCCUCCGACGCCUCCUCCGCUGCUGCCGCCCUGGGCCGCCCCUCCCCGGCUGCUGCUGCUGCUGCUCCUCCGCCAGCCCCCCGCCCGAUCCUCCCGAUCCGCCUCUUCUCUCCGCUGCGGACGCCCCGUCUCGUCUCGCCGCUGCCUCGGAUCCUCCGCGCACGCGCCUUCAGUCCAGCUGGACUCGGCCCCGCCCCCGCGGCUCUGCGAUAUGCAAAUACAGACACGCCCCUCCCCGCCGGCGCGCUCUUCUCGCCGCAAAACUCCGCCUCCCGCGCCUCCGCCGGUUUUUAUUGGCUCCGCGCUCCUGA